Non-coding RNA from Cyanistes caeruleus (blue tit), 231 nucleotides. Lineage: Eukaryota; Metazoa; Chordata; Aves; Passeriformes; Paridae. The record is from RefSeq and is a predicted model, not a curated record.
GUGACAGUCACAAUAGAAGCAGCAGGACCCUUCCAGAGGGGGGCCUGUUACAUCAGUGCCUGCAAUCCUGACAGGAGCAGUUCUAUGACUCCUCUUGCUCCUUUUGCUCUCCCAUGUUGCUUUGAAUCUGUAAGAAGAAAUAAAGGACAGAAACGCUAGUGCAUCAUAGUAAGAAUUCCGUGAGCCAUCGAGCAAGUUCACCCGCAGGCAAAACAAAGCAAAGGCAGCCGG